ACUCAAUAAAGGUUCCAACAGCGGUAGUAAUAACAAGAGUAACAAUAGAAUAUGAUCUGAUCUCUCUGGGCCUCUGUUAGCCAGCUGUAAAUGUGACCUCUUUCCCUAUGCCUUCCAACUUUACUGAGUUCUUUUAAAAUCCAGACCAUGGGAUUGGAAAUGCCUUGAUCUUUACUGACUGAGUUGUGUAUUAAGCCCAGGCCUAGCCCUUUUAAGGGGCACUGUGUGGAACGGCCCAGGCUCUCCAGAUUGAAGCUUCUCCCUCUUCACCCUCCAGCCCUCGAGCCGCUGUGAAGCAGUCCUUGAGCAGCAGUUACAGCAGUUUCUACAGGAGCGGGAACUGCUAAAAGCACAGGUGGCAGAGGUGACGGAGUGUCUUAAGAAAGCUCAGCUAGAAAGAGAUGCAUACGCUCAACAACUCAAAACAGAGAAGGCACAGUGGCAGCAGCAAAUGCUGAAAAUGGCAGGAGAACUGAACCCCCAAUUUCAAAGCACCCAGCAGGGCCCUGUGACUUGAAGAAAAACCUAAAAACUGAAAUCAAGUACCUGAGAGAUGAGCUGCAGGAACAGGACAGACUGCAGGAGGCGAAAACGAGGCUCCGGGAGCAGGAGGUGAGGCUGAGAGAACAGGAGGAGAGGCUUCUUGAGCAGGAGGGGCUCCAGGAGCAGGAGGAGUAGCUGAUGUGCUGCCCACCUGGGGAGACUGCCCUCCUCCUCAGCCCUCCAGGCCUUUGUUUUCCCACCUGUAAAAUGGGGGAGUGUAUGAAAUGGGGCUUCUAAAGGCAGCUGUGAGCCAGAGCCCUCCUCUGAUGGCUGUGGGAGAAAGGAGACAA
This is a long non-coding RNA of Sapajus apella (tufted capuchin), 833 nucleotides long. RefSeq lists it as uncharacterized. The transcript is spliced from 3 exons. Lineage: Eukaryota; Metazoa; Chordata; Mammalia; Primates; Cebidae. The record is from RefSeq and is a predicted model, not a curated record.